This 164-nucleotide unclassified non-coding RNA is filed under the name soil metagenome. Its description in RNAcentral is "partial internal transcribed spacer 1". The record is from RNAcentral.
CCGAGUACUCCAAGACUCCUACAACCCUGUGAACAUUACUAUAACACGUUGCUUCGGCGGUGUCUCGCGAGGGCCCUGCCUACCACGGGGCCGCCCCCGCCAGCAGGCCUACUAUACUCUGUCUCUUAUGCGUUUGCAUCUCGAGUAACAAGCAAAUCAAGUUA